UGGGGAUUCUUGCACAAUGGGGGCAACCCUGAUGCAGCGACGCCGCGUGAGCGAUGAAGGCUUUCGAAUCGUAAAGCUCUGUCCUAUGGGAAGAUAACGACGGUACCAUAGGAGGAAGCCCCGGCUAACUACGUGCCAGCAGCCGCGGUAAUACGUAGGGGGCGAGCGCUGUCCGGAAUUACUGGGCGUAAAGGGUUCGCAGGCGGCAUGGCAAGUCCGAUGUAAAAGGCGAAGGCUCAACCUUCGUAAGCAUCGGAAACUGUCAAGCUUGAGUGAAGGAGAGGCAAGUGGAAUUCCUAGGGGAGCGGUGGAAUGCGUAGAUAUUAGGAGGAAUACCGGUGGCGAAGGCGACUUGCUGGACUUCAACUGACGCUGAGGAACGAAAGCGUGGGUAGCAAACAGG
RNAcentral lists this ribosomal RNA (403 nucleotides) under Verrucomicrobiota bacterium. RNAcentral's name for it is "Verrucomicrobia bacterium partial 16S ribosomal RNA". It matches the Rfam family "Bacterial small subunit ribosomal RNA", at positions 355 to 776 of the family's 1533-position model. Lineage: Bacteria; Pseudomonadati; Verrucomicrobiota. The record is from RNAcentral.